AGAGUUUGAUCCUGGCUCAGAAUCAACGCUGGCGGCGCGCUUAACACAUGCAAGUCGCACGAGAAAGGGAGCAAUCCUAAGUAAAGUGGCGUACGGGUGAGUAACACGUGGAUCAUCUACCUUUUAGUGGGGAAUACCUCCUGGAAACGGGAGACAAUACCGCAUAAGCUCGAGAGAGGAAAGCAGCAAUGCGCUGAAAGAGGAGUCCGCGGCUGAUUAGCUAGAUGGCGGGGUAAUGGCCCACCAUGGCGAAGAUCGGUAGCCGGCCUGAGAGGGCACACGGCCACACUGGCACUGAAACACGGGCCAGACUCCUACGGGAGGCAGCAGUGGGGAAUCUUGCACAAUGGAGGAAACUCUGAUGCAGCGACGCCGCGUGAGCGAUGAAGCCCUUCGGGGUGUAAAGCUCUUUCGACGGGAACGAUAAUGACGGUACCCGAAGAAGAAGCUGCGGCUAACUACGUGCCAGCAGCCGCGGUAAUACGUAGGCAGCGAGCGUUGUUCGGAAUUACUGGGCGUAAAGAGUGUGUAGGUGGUGCUCUAAGUUUGGUGUGAAAUCUCCCGGCUUAACUGGGAGGGUGCGCCGAAAACUGGAGUGCUUGAGUAUGGGAGAGGUAAGCGGAAUUCCUGGUGUAGCGGUGAAAUGCGUAGAUAUCAGGAGGAACACCUGGUGUAGACAGCUUACUGGACCAUCACUGACACUGAGACACGAAAGCGUGGGUAGCAAACAGGAUUAGAUACCCCCGUAGUCC
RNAcentral lists this ribosomal RNA (752 nucleotides) under uncultured bacterium. RNAcentral describes it as "bacterial SSU rRNA". It matches the Rfam family "Bacterial small subunit ribosomal RNA", at positions 8 to 796 of the family's 1533-position model. The record is from RNAcentral.